UGGGGGAUAUUGCACAAUGGGCGAAAGCCUGAUGCAGCGACGCCGCGUGGGGGAUGAAGGCUUUCGGGUUGUAAACCUCUUUCGCUAUCGAACAAGGCCCGCUUAGGGUGGGUUGAGGGUAGGUGGAGAAGAAGCGCCGGCUAACUACGUGCCAGCAGCCGCGGUAAUACGUAGGGCGCGAGCGUUGUCCGGAAUUAUUGGGAGUAAUGGGCUUGUAGGCGGCUUGUUGCGCCUGCUGUGAAAACGCGGGGCUUAACUUCGGGGGUGCAGUGGUGACGGGGAGUCUUGAGUGUGGUAGGGGUGACUGGAAUUCCAGGUGUAGCGGUGGAAUGCGCAGAUAUCUGGAGGAACACCGAUGGCGAAGGCAGGUCACUGGGCCAUUACUGACGCUGAGGAGCGAAAGCAUGGGUAGCGAACAGG
This 420-nucleotide ribosomal RNA is filed under the name bacterium. RNAcentral describes it as "partial 16S ribosomal RNA". It matches the Rfam family "Bacterial small subunit ribosomal RNA", at positions 355 to 776 of the family's 1533-position model. The record is from RNAcentral.